Molecule: long non-coding RNA, 4641 nt
Organism: Equus caballus (horse)
Lineage: Eukaryota; Metazoa; Chordata; Mammalia; Perissodactyla; Equidae
Source: Ensembl
GGAAGAGAGGGGACUGACCAGCAGAUCUCACCCGUGGGUAAUGAGCCCAGAGAGAUCAGGGAUCAGGAGAGGUCUGCCACAGCAGCAAGGAGGCUUCCCCGGGGAGGCAGUGACAGUGACUGGCUGAGGCUUGAAGAGGAGCUACCUGCCAAGUAGCAAUUUCAAAAUGUAAAAACCAUUCCUAGCUUGCAGGCCACACAAAAACAGGCAGCAAGCCAGACUUGGCCCAAGGGCUAUAGUUCACUGACUCCUACUCUUGAUCUCUGCAAGGUCCCCAAAUCCAAUGUCUACAGUGGACAGGCAGACCAUAAAAUGAGUGAAACAAGCUGGAAUUUGGAAACUGCACAAAACACUCCUGAAGCCAUAGUUCACCUGGGACCAGCCAGAUAAUGACCUCUAGACUAAGUGAUUUCCCAGGAUUCUUUUAGAAUUCUGUUUCUGCCCCUUUAAUGAAUCCGCUGUUUUAUAUGUAGUUGUAGGUGUGUCUCUAGUUUAUUCUUUCAAUAAAUAUUUGAGUACCCACUAUAAGCUGGAAACUGUAGUUGAUUAAAAAAAAAAAAGAACGAGAUGGGGUUUCUACUUUUAGGUGAGCCGAUGGGAGAGCUAAGGGAAAUGCCCCAAUAAAUAAUAAGGCUUCCUGAAUAACUAGACUUCCUGGAAAAUCUAAGGAAAGGCAGAUCUGGUGCAUUAGCAAGACACACAGUCCUUUCAGAGGCUUGGUAUUGUCAUCUGUACAAUGGGAAGAGUAACACCUCCCCGUCAAGCCUGUGCGAAGAUUAGAAUUCUGUGUAUAAAAUGCCUGGUACAUAGUAGAUGCUCAAUAAACAACACUAUCUAGUGCUACUACUUUUAUUAUUACAUUAUAAACUUGAAGUUAGGGUUUGGGUCUGAUUAAAAUCAUGCGAUGGCAAUCCUUAACUUGUAAGCAGCCGGUUGUGUUCCCAAAGUGUAUGCCUCAGAACUUGUUUUCCAGUGGAGAUGGCAUCCGUUUCUUACUUCCCCAAGGCAAGUCCAGAAACGCCUAGGUAAACUACAGGGUGGCCUAAAUAUUGCACAAUUGUGAUUUUUUACAAAAAUCAGAAAACAGCACCGAUGCAAUGCAAAUACAACAGAAGAAGCUCUUUUGCAAUCUUUUUUUUACAAAUGAUCGAAAGGCUUUUCGCUGCUGUGUGUGGCGCUUGAGAUUCUAAGGCAGUUUUGUUUUUUUUCUUUUAGGAAGAUUAGCCCUGAGCUAACAUCUGCCAAUCCUUCUCUUUUUGCUGAGGAAGACUGGCCCUGAGCUGACAUCCAUGCCCAUCUUCCUCUACUUCAUACGUGGGACACCUGCCACAGCAUGGCUUGCCAAGUAGUGCCACGUUCACACCCGCGAUCUGAACCAGUGAACAAUGGGCUGUUGAAGCAGAAUGUGCAAAUCAACCACUGUGCCACCAGGUGGGCCCCAUAAGGCAGAUUUAAUUAGAAGCCCGGGAGCAAGAGUUGCAUACUUGAUGGUUCCGAAGGGGUAUCUAGGGAUGUUUUAAGGGCCUUUAACACAGGUGGUUCUAGGUUUUUUAAUUUGUCUAAUUUUACUUAAAAACUUAUAACUUUCUUGUCCUUGAGCCAAUUAUCUCUAACAUUGUUCUCACACUUACCCUUAGAGUACCAUCGUUAGGCUGAUGACUCUAAAAUUUGCAUCUUUAGGGCACACUGUUAUAUAUUCAGCUCCCAGGUUGGCAUUCGUACUUGGAGAUCGCAUACACAUCUUAGAUUCAACAAGGUCAAAACAGAACUCUUGACCCAAAUCUGCUCCCUCCCAAGGCUGUCCUACAUCAUUAAAUGGCGUUGCCAUAUGCUGGGUGCUCAGGUCAAACCCUGGGAAAUAUUCUUAGUUUUUCUUAUUCCCUCAAGUAGACCCGUGUACUUUGGCUCCAAUAGCCCAUGGCACUUUAUGCAAAAUAUGGUCACUUCUCACCAUGUGCCAUCUACAGGUCAAUUCAAGCCAUCAUCAAGUCGACUCCGACAGCCUGCCGCCCCAUCUCUCUGCCUCUCCCACUGCUGUCCUUACACGGCAGCCAGGGUCUUGAAAGCAUGAAUGACAUCUCUUCCUUGCUCAAAACCCUCCAAAGGCUUUCCAUUGCAAGUGGAAUAAAACUCAGACCUGUUACUACACCCCACGAGGCUCUAUGUGAUCUUGCCUCUCUCCAUUUUCCCCUCGAGCCAGCCUGCCUUCUAUAUGUCAACACGCUAGGCUUAUAGCAACUCAGGGCCUUGCUUAUCUUGAUCCCGUGCCAGGAACCUCUUCCAAUGACAUCUCCCUUCUCAUCAUUGUCUCUUCCUUAGACAGGACUUUCCUAUCCAAGUCUGGCAGAGACUUCUAGUUGUCCUCCAAUAUCUACUCUUCCCUUUUCCCAAAGAAAUGGAACCUCCUAUUUUUAGCUGAGUCCGUAAUCGGCCAGUCUCCCUUAAACUGGUUAUUGCUACUGGCCAAUGCAAUAUAAGAAGAAACAUAACAUGGCAGUUUCCAGAAACCAUUCUUAAAAGAUUAUUGGCACAUACCUUUGCCUUUUAUUCAUUCUGCUGGCUGGCAUGUGACAUGAUGGCUGGAUCUGGAGCAGCCAUCUUAGACCAUGAGGUAAACUUAGAAAUGGAGGCUGUGCACAGCAGAGCAACAGAAUAGAAGGAGCCUGAAUCACUGAGGAUUUCAUGGAGUGCAAUGACCACAACAGACCUGGGUUACUCGCUUCUGGCCUUCUACUUGAGAGAGAAAUAAACUUUUAUCUUGUUUAAACCACUGUUAUUUUGGAUCCUGUUAUCAACUUAAUUCUAAUUGAUAGACUAACCUGGCUAAGGCAGCCUUCUUUUAUAUUUAUCUGUAUUUUUUUCUUCAAAGUACUUAGCACCUGAAAUUACCCUACAUAUUUACUUAUACUUUUAUUUCUUUUUUUAUUGUCUGUCUUCUCCCUUCUGAAAGGUAAACUCCUUGAGGCCAGGGAUCAUCUGACAUUCACUGCUAUAUCCCUUCCCCCUGGAAUACUGCCAUAAUAGGCGCUUCAUAAAUAUUUGUGGGAUGAAUGGGUGAGUGAACACCUACUACGUGCCAGGGAGGGGAGAUACAAAGAUGAUUAGCAUGCUGUUUCCUGAGUCCCUUGCUUGAGAAGCUCACGGUUUCGUGGGGACUGACUUUCUAGUUUGAAGCGGCCAUCAUCCUCAUUGGAUUCAUCUAGAACAGUGGUUCUCAGCCACGGGCAGUUUUGCCCCCCAAGGGACAUUUGUCAAUCUCUGGAAACAUGUUUGAUUGUUACAAGUUGGAAGAUGCUCCCAGAAUCCAGAGACUGGAGCUCAGGGAUGCUGCUAAACAUGCUACCAUGCAGGGGACAGCCCCCACAACAGAGAAUUACUUGGCCCCAAAGGCCAAUAGUGCUGAGGUUGAGAAACCAUGACCCAGCAAAGGUCAAUGCCAAUUAGAUCUGCCGGGGGCGGGGGGGAACUGUUCGGGCUGCACGUGCCAUGGGGCCUCUGUUGUUGUUAGUGAGUGUGCCGGAUUAAACCCCAAGUAGAGGUCAGCUGAGUUGUCAAAUUCUGCAAAGCUCUCUCAUGGAGAGGCCAACCCCAACCAUGAUCCUUUACUUGUCUCGUGGUCCAUGUUCUGAGGACAAUGUGAACUUGGAACAGGUAAAAUUCUGUCCAGGACUCUAGAAACCAAGCCAGAGAAGCUCUCCAAACAGUAUCAUCAUUGAUAUGAAGAACUCCAACGUGAAUCUUCACUUCACCUGUUUUCCUUGGGAAGGCUGAGAGACCUCACGCCGCACUGCUCUCUGCUGUCAUAAAUCUCUUCUCUAUUUCUGUUUGGGUGAAAGGAGCGUAUCUACUUUCACGGUCCUCCUGCAAAAUGUAAUUUUCUCUUGCAGAUAAACAAAUGAUAGAUGAGGGUAGUCUACCGGACCGGAGAUUAUGGAGGUGAUGGUCCUGGGCCACUUCCUAUUUUAACUAUUAGGGUUUUUUUUGUUUGGUUUGGGUUUUUUUUUAGCUUUCCAGUUUGUUAGACACUGAUGCGCUUGGUGACCUUGGCAGGACACUUCAUCUCCCUGAGCCUCAGUUUCCUCAUCAGCAGACUCAGGGAGCUGGAUCAGGCCAUGGCUUAAUGGUCUUCUACUCUAAAUAACCACAAUGAUUCACUUAUCACCUGCUACCAGCAGAAAAUUGAUGGUGACACAUGCCUGGGUUUGAAGAAAUAAAUUUGAAAAUAAAGGAAAGACUAUGGUGAUUUGUAGCAUCAAUGUUCCCCGCCACACCCCUCCCGAUUUUCAAAAAUAAAACAUCAGCAUUAAUCUUUGGAACAGCAGUUCCUAAGAUAUGUUUCUUAGAACAUAGCUCCUUAAGAUAUUAAAAUGGGACUCUAUGUCAAAAAAGUUGGACAGCAGGGGCUGGCCCCCUGGCCGAGUGGUUAGGUUCGCGCGCUCUGCUGCAAGCGGCCCAGUGUUUCGUUGGUUCGAAUCCUGGGCGUGGACAUGGCACUGCUCAUCAAACCACGCUGAGGCAGCGUCCCACAUGCCACAACUAGAAGGACGCACAACGAAGAAUAUACAACUAUGUACUGGGGGGCUUUGGGGAGAAAAAGGAAAAAAUAAAAUCUUUUAAAAAAAAAAAACAAAGUUGGACAGC